UUGACAAUCCCAAAUCUACAAUAGUUCUCAUUUUAAUCGAAAACUUUCCAAAAAUAUGAGGUUUAUUAAAAAGUAUUUUUAAAAUGCAACAUAUUGAUGAAGUUUUUUGAAAGAAUACUCAUCUAUCAAAAAAAAUUCUAGUUAUCCUAAUUUUUAAGUCACAAUCCAAAUCUACAAUAGUUCUCUAUAGAAAAUAAAAACAUUUCAAAAAUAGCAGGUUUCGUAAAAAUUAUUGAGAAAAUGCAACCUCUUGACAAACAAUUCUGAAAAAAUACUAAUCUAUCAACGACAAUUCAUGUUAUCCUAAUUUCAAAGGCACAACCCCAAAUCUACAAUAGUACUCUAUACAUAUGAAAACUUUCAAGAAAUAACAUUUUUUGUAAAAAAUAUUGAAAAAAGUGACCUAUUGAUGGAAAAUUAUGAAAUAAUACUCAUCUAUCAAAACCAAUUCUUCUUAUCCUUAUUUUUAAGUCAAAAUCCCAAAUCUAUAACAAUUCACUAUAGAAAUGAAAACUUUCUAAAAAUAACAGCUUUUGUAAAUAUUAUUUUAAAAAUGCAAUCUAUGGUAUAGAAAAUGUGAAAGAAUACUUAUAUAUCAACAAAAAUUCUUGUUAUCCUAACUUCUAUGUGACAAUCCCAAAUCUACAAUAGUUCUCUAUGUAAAUGAAAACUUUCCAAAAACAUGUGGUUUUAAAGAAAUUAUUAAAAAGAUGCAACCUAUUGUAGAAAAAUUCUUGUUGUACAAAUUUCUAAGUCACAAUCCUAAAUCUACAAUAGUUCUCUAUAAAAAUGAAAAAUUUCCAAAAAUAGCAGUUUUUGUAAAAAUUAUUGAAAAAUGUAACCUAUUGGUGAAAAAUUCUGAAAGAAUACUCUUCUAUCAAAACAAAUUCUUGUUAUCUUUAUUUCUAAGUCACAAUCCCAAAUCUAUAACAGUUCUCUAUAAAAAUGAAAACUUUCCAAAAUAUCAGCUUUUAAAAAAAAACUAUUUUAAAAAUGCAAUCUAUGAAAGAAAAAAUCUGAAAGAAUACUUAUAUAUCAACAAAAAUUAUUGUUAUCCUAAUUUCUAAUCCAAAAUAUAUAGUAGUUCUCUAUAGAAAUAAAAAAUUUCCAAAAAUAGCAACUUUGGUAAAAGUUAUUGAAAAAAUGCAACCUAUUGAUGAAAAAUAUUGAAAAAAUUCUCAUAUAUCAACGAAAAUUCUUGUUAUCUUAAUUUCAAAGUCACAACCCCAAAUCUACAAUAGUACUCUAUAGAAAUGAAAACUUUCCAAAAUAGCAGUUUUUGUAAAAUUUAUUGAAAAAAUGCAAUCUAUGGAAGAAAAAAUCUGUAAGAAUACUUAAAUAUCAACAAAAAUUCUUGUUAUCCUAAUUUAUAAGUGACAAUCCCGAAUCUAUAAUAGUUCUCUAUGUAAAUGAAAACUUUCCAAAAAUAGAAGGUUUUUUAAAAAUUAUUUAAGAAAUGCAACCUAUUGAUGAAAAAUUUCGAAAGAAUGCUCAUCUAUCAAAACAAAUUCUUGUUAUCUUUAUUUCUAAGUCACAAUCCCAAAUCUACAACAGUUCUCUAUAAAAAAAGAAAACUUUCGAAAAACAUCAGCUUUUAUAAAAAUUAUUUAAAAAAUGCAAUCUAUUGAAGAAAAACCUAAAAAUAUACAUAUAUAUAUAUCAAUAAAAAUUCUUGUUAUCUUAAUUUCUAAGUGACAAUCUCAAAUCUAGUAUAGUUCUCUAUAUAAAUGAAAACUUUCCAAAAUAUGAGGUUUUUCAAAACUUAUUAAAAAAAUUCAACCUAUUGAUGAACAAUUCUGAAAAAAUACUCAUCUAUUAAGACAAAUUCUUCUAAUACUAGUUUCUAAGUCACCAUCCUAAAUCUACAAUAGUUUUCUAUAAAAAUGAAAACUAUCUAAAAAUAGCACGUUUUAAAAACAAUAUUUUAAAAAUACAACAUAUUGAUGAAAAAUUCUGAAAAAAUACUGAUCUAUAAACACAAAUUCUUUUUAUCCUUAUUUCAAAGUCACAAUCCCAAUCUACAAUAGUUCUCUAUAAAAAAUGAAAGCUUUCCAAAAAUAGUAGGUUGUUAAAAUAUUAUUUAAAAAAUAAAACCUUCUUUUGAAACUUUGAGAGAAUACUCAUCUAUCAACAAAAAUUCAAGUUAUCAUAAUUUCUAAUCACAACCCCAAAUCUACAAUAGUACUCUAUAGAAAUGAAAACUUUUCAAAAUAGCAGUUUUUGUAAAAUUUAUUGAAAAAAUGCAAUCUAUGGAAGAAAAAAUCUGUAAGAAUACUUAAAUAUCAACAAAAAUUUUUGUUAUCCUAAUUUAUAAGUGACAAUCCCAAAUCUAUAAUAGUUCUC
Molecule: long non-coding RNA, 2343 nt
Organism: Brassica rapa (field mustard)
Lineage: Eukaryota; Viridiplantae; Streptophyta; Magnoliopsida; Brassicales; Brassicaceae
Source: RefSeq, a predicted model, not a curated record